RNAcentral lists this ribosomal RNA (253 nucleotides) under uncultured bacterium. RNAcentral describes it as "partial 16S ribosomal RNA". It matches the Rfam family "Bacterial small subunit ribosomal RNA", at positions 524 to 775 of the family's 1533-position model. The record is from RNAcentral.
UACGUAGGGUGCGAGCGUUGUCCGGAAUUAUUGGGCGUAAAGAGCUCGUAGGCGGUGUGUCACGUCGGCCGUGAAAACCUGGGGCUUAACUCUGGGCGUGCGGUCGAUACGGGCAUCACUAGAGUUCGGCAGGGGAGACUGGAAUUCCUGGUGUAGCGGUGAAAUGCGCAGAUAUCAGGAGGAACACCGGUGGCGAAGGCGGGUCUCUGGGCCACUACUGACGCUGAGAAGCGAAAGCAUGGGGAGCGAACAG